CGGCCGGCAGCUGAGUGGCAGCGCCCCCCCCCCACCCGGCACCUUGUGCAGCGCCGAGCACAGCCGGAGCCUGCGGGCGUCACCAUCCCCACUUCACACCCCCGCCCCUCAGCGCCGGCCCUCCCCUGGCUGCUGCCGCGGCCCCGCGCCGGAGCGGGAACUGGGGGCCGGCGGGGGCGUCCCCCCCCCGGGAGCGCGGCCCGCGGCCGGCUCUGACUCGCUGCGCGGCCCCGGGCUGGGCGCUGGCCCCCCCGAAACUCGCCCCUCGGGGCUCCGGCCCGCCCCCGGGCCCGCGAGCUGCGCCGCCAAGCGCGGGGGCGGAGCUCGCCAGGGGCAUGGCCGGGCUCGCUGCUCCCGUGCCGCUCCCGUGCCCGUGAGCCGGGCGGCGGCAGGCGGAGGCCGGGGAGGUCCCGGGGCGGGCCUGGCUCUGCCGGGGACCGGGGAGGCGGCGCUGGCGGUUCGGGGAGCGCCCAGGCUCUGCCCGGCGGCGGCUGGCCCACGUCCACCGCCGCAGAAGGGCGCUCGCCGGCGGCUGGGGCGGGCCCGUGCUCCCCUAUGGGCUUGCCUGGCCAUCCACAUAUUGACCUUGCCGAGCGGAGUGUAACCCCGAGCCUGGCGGCGUCUGGCCGAGAGGAAUGCCUGGCGGCGCCGGUGUCCUCCUCUGAGUCCUGCGGCUUGGGGGCGGCCGGGGUCGAGGGGACCCGUUUUAGGUCGCUGCCGCCCGGCUCGGGCUGGGGGCGGCUCGGACUGCGUGGGACGAUGUACACCUUUGUGGCACGAGAUGAAAACAGCAGCAUCUAUGCUGAAGUGUCCAAAAUACUCCUGUCCACCGGCCAGUGGAAGAGGCUGAAAAGAGACAACCCCAGAUUUAACCUGAUGCUGGGGGAGAGGAACAGGCUGCCCUUCGGGAGACUGGGUCAUGAACCUGGACUUGUGCAGCUGGUAAAUUACUACAGGGGAGCUGACAAGCUUUGUCGCAAAGCUUCGUUAGUGAAGCUAAUCAAGACGAGCCCUGAGUUAUCAGAAUCUUGCACAUGGUUCCCAGAAUCAUAUAUGAUUUAUCCAACUAACCUAAAGACUCCAGUGGCUCCAGCGCAGAAUGGAAUUCGCCAUCUUAUAAACAACUCCAGGACGGAUGAAAGGGAAGUGUUCCUGGCCUCCUACAACAAGAGGAAGGAGAAUGGGGAGGGGAACGUGUGGAUAGCCAAAUCCUCGGCCGGUGCCAAAGGUGAAGGAAUUCUUAUUUCUUCAGAGGCUACUGAACUUCUGAACUUUAUAGAUGAUCAAGGACAAGUGCAUGUGAUUCAGAAAUACCUUGAAAAGCCUAUGCUGUUAGAGCCAGGCCAUCGCAAGUUUGAUAUUAGAAGCUGGGUUCUAGUGGAUCACCAAUAUAAUAUCUACCUCUACAGAGAAGGCGUUCUGCGGACCUCUUCAGAACCAUACAAUAGUGCUAAUUUCCAAGACAAAACCUGCCAUUUGACCAAUCACUGCAUACAGAAGGAAUAUUCUAAAAACUAUGGGAAGUAUGAAGAAGGGAAUGAAAUGUUUUUUGAGGAGUUCAAUCAGUAUUUGAUGAGUUCUUUGAACAUUACACUGGAAAGUAGCCUGUUAUUGCAGAUCAAACAAAUAAUAAGAAGCUGCCUUAUGUGUAUAGAGCCUGCAAUCAGCACCAAACACCUUCACUACCAGAGUUUCCAGCUCUUCGGCUUUGACUUCAUGGUAGAUGAGGAACUGAAGGUCUGGCUAAUCGAAGUCAAUGGGGCCCCUGCCUGUGCCCAAAAAUCAGUUUCUUCAGACUCUUCAAGAGCAAAUGUACCAUUGAAUGAAACUUUGUCUGUUGAAGUGUAAGAGAAGAACACCGAUGAGUAUGAUCCUGGAAGUGAGACUUUUUUGAUGCUGUCACCAAAAGGUUUUCUUACUACUGCAGAAUUAGUGGAGUCUACGCGUCUCAUGAUUUAGGGUGGAGUUCCGCUCUCAGGUGAACAUGAGAAAGUCCCACUGGCGUCAAUUUGAGCUGCACGUCUGUAUCUAAGUCCAGGAUUAAUACCUACCAUAGGAAUGGUUUGGAAACUUUAUGCAGAGCUUUGCCAAGGUAUAGUGGAUGUAGCCAUCUCUAGUGUCUUUCCCCUCAGUGACAUAGUGCAAAAGCAGAGCCAGCCAUCAAUAUUUAUGAAGCUGUGAUGACAAGACCAUCCUAGCGAGACACAUGGGAGAGCUGCCAUCUGUCGAUUCUGAGGGAAGGCUGUUGGAUCGUUGACUUUAGUAUCAUGCCAAAAAGGAGGAAAGAGAGACAACUUUUUGGAAAUUCACGAGGAAAAUAUAAAUAAAAGAAGGCUUCCAAGGAGAGUUCAGACAACUCUGCCUGUGUUUCACCAAACUAUGCUUUGGAAACAGCUCAUGUGACUUUAAUAACUGAAGCAAAUCUCUCUGGGAGAACAGCAAAAUAAUGUUUAAAAAAAACCAGGGAUACAAUAAUAUUGUAUUAUCUCGUCCUUUUCUAAAAAGAAACCUUUUUUCCUUUUUUUUAAUAAGGCAAUUUAAUGAAGAGUACCAUUGAUGUGGGUUUCUUGCUUCAUCACCUGCUGCAGUUUUAGUGCCUUAGCUCAGUCCCCAAUAGGUAACUCCUUUUUGUUCCUGCUCCAUUUGUGUAGAGGUGAAAAGUGGUCUUGUUUUGUGGAAUGUGUAAAAGAAGACAAAGUUAAUUUUAAAUCUGUUUUAAAAUCAGCUAGCGAAACACCCAGUAACGAUAUGGCAAAGGUGGCACCACUGAGGGUACUGUAUCUAAUGUGAUGAAGUAGCCUAGGGGUUUAAGGAGGUUUUAUUUACUUGUAUCCAUUGUCUAAUGAGAUUUGAAUCGGUUGUCUGUCAGUCUGACACAGUUGGAACCCCUAGAAAACAAGUACUCAGCCCCUCCCUCACCGAUCUGCAGUUUUUAGGGAGCCUAGGUUGACAUUCUUGUUGAGAGCGUUGCUGUAACAGAGUCUGACUUUCCUGGAAGGCUUGUUCAGAGGGGCAUUCAAAUUAUCUUAGUUCAGCUCUUCUUUCAGUUUUUAUGCUUUUAAUACCUUCGUUUUUGUUAACCAAAAGAACACCAAGGGACCCUGGCAGCCUCUUUAAGAUGCAUCUGAGGCUUGAAAAAAGAAGCCUUUCAACCCCACCAGUUGUUUCCCUUUCAACCCAACCAAUUUUCUCUCUCUCCAUUGGACAAACAUUGCAUUUUUUAGCACUUACAAGUCAGCACCACCAAAACAUGGCUGUGCUUUGUACCCCAAGCAUCAUCAGUCAGUAGAAAUAGGCUCACCUCUUGGGGAAAGCAUUUGAUGAUCAGCUGGUGCUGCUGUAGAACAGCAGGGAAACUCUUGUUGCAUAUUGUGUUAUAUUGGGAUAACCUUUUUUAAAAAAAAAAAAAAAAAUUUAGGUCAGUGAAUGUAGAAACUCACAUUUUUUAAGUAUAACCUAAAUAGAUAUAUGAAAUCCUGGGAACAUUCCCCAUGUCAUAAACAGCCCCUUUAAGUUACAAUUUUUAACCUAAAUAAGUUGGCUGUGUUUCUUUGUAGAACACAGUGGGGUCCCUAAUAGCAAACUGGGUACUAUAGAUCAUAAGUGUGUUCCGUAUUGCAAUGCAAUUGUGUUGGAAAUUUUCAGUAGGAAUAGAGAGGUGGAAUUUUAAAUUUAAUCUUAGUGUUUAAGAAGUAAUAAUCUGUGUCUGCAAAUGACUAAUACUAACAAGAUCCCCUUUUUCAAGGAAACCAGUAAGAUUUCUAUAAGCUAUUACGCGUUUUCAAUACUGAGCUGCUGCAGUUCUCCUACAUGCAUUGCAUGUUGCAUCCUAGCAUAUUUUAGUUCUAUGAUUAGAUUUUUUUUUCUACAUAUUUUAAAAGGUCAGUGAAAUGAGGCAGCUUCCUACCAAACAAGUGUGCAUGACUGAAUGAGAAGCAGAGUCUGAUCAAGAAAAGCAUGAGAGACUUGUUUAGAAGAAGGAUCUCUCUUGUGUGGUGCACAAUCCACACAGGAUGCUGUUGUGGAACACUGACAUCUGCACCUGAAUCAAAUCCAGCAAGAGUUCUGGCUCUGCUGGUCGGAUCAGAACUACGUUCUGUUGUCUCUGACAGUUGCUUUGGGUUGAGGAUACUUACAUUAAUGAGGGUGACCCAAGCAAAAGAAAAGUGGCUCCUGCUACCAAAAAAAAAAAAACACAUUUAGGAGAUUCCAAGCUUCUGAUUGGCUGAGUUUAAUAAGCAUUGAGUUAAGUAGUCUAAUUUUUCCCUCCAGUGAAAUGUCUGAACGCUCUUACACACGUACCUCGACUUACAGCUGAGAUUUCCCAUCUCUGAAUUGUUACCAGGGUAGAGCUCUGUAAAUGAAUGAAACUGUCACACUUUGCCAAGUCACUGGUGUUCAUAAAUCUUGGCUCUAUAGCAAAGGGAGAGACAGAAGCAUUUCUGAGAGGUGUACGGAACUUUAAAUCUCAUUGCUGGGGCGCACUGGGGGAGUUUCUGUUCCAUACCUUAAUUAUUUCGAUCCAGAACAGCUAGAUUUGGGGACGGACUCAGCCACUCAUCUUAAAAGUUUGUCUAUUUGAAAACUUUGGCCAGGUGGCUAUCAGAUUGUCACUUCUGCCAAAGCGCUUCAUACUCUUGCUGGCUUCAUUUAUUUACAGCAAGUAAAUAACUUACUUCACAACUCUUCACACCAUUGCUGCUUUUCUGCAGAUCUCUGCAAUCUAGCAUUGAAGCUGCAGAGGUCGUUCCAUUGGUGUGAGUUUUCUGCUGUAACGCCAGUUGAACAUCAUCUGUACAUCAAGCCAGACUGCAGGUGAGACAGGAAACAUCAGUGAAGCAGUUAAGAUUCCUUGACUAGCAUUCUUUCCUUAUAUCAGAUGGCAAAGAACAGGCCUUAUUCUAGGGCUUGUAUGGGGCUGCCUGAGCUCACUGUCAAGAGCCCAAUUACCUUGCUUGGCAGAGGGGCAGUGUAAGGCCAGGAAUUUUGUUUUGCAAAGGGAGUAGCCAGGUGAUUUGAGUUGGGUUUUCACAGCUGCAGGAAAAAAGGAAAAUUAAUUUUAAAAAUUAACUUGAAGUCUCCAUUACUGUGGAGGCCAGGAAGCCUAUGAGGGGGACAGACGGGGUUUGUACUGAAAUGAACCCACAGAAAGCCUCAGUGGGGAAUGUUGGAUAAUCCUAACUCAUGUGACUACAAACCUAAUAAGGACACGGGCGCUAUCAUUAAAACAUCAGUCAAUACUUGAAGCGUAUGCCCCCUUUAGUGUAAUCUGUCAUGAAUUCCCAGGUACUGGAGUUAUAUAUAGGGCUGUCAAAAUCCAAUGGCUAACAGAUUGCCACCAUCACCAUAAGAGGCUGCCCCUCUGAUACUUGAUAACAUAAGUGUGUUGCUGCUGUGCAAACUUCUCUUAAGCAGUAAGUGUGAAAUGAGCUCAAGUGUUGUAUAUAAAUAUCUGUGAAAAUUUGAUGGCAGAUGUAACGUGCAUUUGAACUAUAAAGUGGUUGAAAUAUUAUAUUCCAGAAGUUGACAAGAAAGACUGCUCUCACUGUGUGUACAGUGAGCUCACGUGUGUGUGGUGGGGGCAGAAGUUCCAAAAAUUGAUGUCUAAGUUAGGGUCCUGUGUCCAUAAGGGGCCUGAUUUUUCAAUAGAGCUGAGCUCCCAGCAGCUCUCAUUGAUUUCAUGAAGAAGCAAAAAAAGGCACAAGCCCAAAUUUUAAAAAAUUCUUUUUAGGUCACCUUUUAUUUCCAUUUCACUGAUAGCAGUAGUAGCUAAAUAGUGAAGUGCAAAUGAAAAGCCAUCUGGCUAAUACCAGUCAGUCAAAUGGAAAUCAAAGGUGACUUUAAUUGAAAGUGAUGAAUUUAAAACCUGGGUUUGCCCCCCUGGUUUCUUCCUGAUGUGUAUGAAGUGAGCCUGGAACCUGUGGUGAGGUUUGGCAUUGCGCGUGUUUUUACCUUUAGAAGUAGCAGGAAUGUCAGUCUGGUCUCAUUGGUCUUGCUGGAUGUUGGAGGACGUGUAUUUUGAGCUCUCAUUCAUUAACUCAUUACUCGAAGAGGGAAGGUGGUGUGGACUAUUUAAGGCCAUGGCUACAGUAGAAAAAAGGUGGGGAAGUGGUAAGCUUAUGUUAGCUACCCUGUGUUAAAAUCCUAGUACAGACAAAGUAAGCUGUAGCUUUACCACAUGUUAGCUGGUCAGAGUAACCCCCAGGUUACCCCCCAGAAUUUACCUGACCAGAAUGUAUUAAAACCACACCGUGCUUUGCCUGCACUCAGAUUUUAAUGUGUUAGCUAACAUGUUUCAACACGCAUUUUUCCCGGUGAAGACAAGGGCUGGCAAAGAUGUCCUUUAUUGAGAAUGUGUAUCAGACAUGGAAGUAAAAUAGGUAUGAACCAAAAAAAGAGUUUAAACUAAAACUCUCUCCCCUCUCAGCUUUCGCUCUUGUGAUACCCUCAUUUUACUAGCUGGUUAGCCAGUUAAGACUGGGCUGGAAUGUGUAAAAUAAGUUAGGGGAGGGGGGAUCUUAAAGGUCUUAGGCCUUUUUUACCUCAUAAAGAAGUGAAGAAAAGGCACAAGCCCUGAGGCAGUUGACAUUUUCUUCCUUUGCAGGUCGCCUUCAAGAAUUAGUAAAGGUUCAGCAGCUGUUCCUCUAGUGUGUUCAGUGUGCUCCUGUAGGGAACUUGUUGUAUAGGAUAUAUACAUAGAGGAGAACAUCUGCUUAGUGUGAGUCCAGCUAGCUGGGGCAGUAGAACCCUUCUCCAAACAUGCUCUUGUAAGCAUCUUGUUUGUGUGCUGUGCUCCUAGGGGAGACUGACAGAGCAAAGCCGUUAGCAUAGUGUGCGAGAUGGAUCAUGCUGAAGUGACUCCAGGCAGCCUCCUCCCACCCUGGUUUGAUGGUCCCUGGAUGAGCCUUGCAAUCCUGUAACAGUAAUCAUGGGACUAUUGUCAUUCAGGUGUGGGAAAGUCAGAGAGAGAGAUCUUACUUGUUGUCAGGAUGUGCAGUUUCAGUGGGGUGACCUGCUGAGCAGGUAGGGACUGUCAUCUGUGCCCAUCAUUUUACAGUGGGAGGAAAGCCACACAGACUCCCCCGCUGUCAAGCUACCUGAGAGAACCAUCCCAGUGCAGUUAGCUGGGAUGAGAUUGGGAUAAUCUUAAUCCUUGACAGCCCCAGUGUUUAUUGCAGAGAUUAACUGAACGAACAGGCCACACACGCACGCACACACACACACACACCUGCUCCCCCUUGUUAUACAGUAAUGACCAAGUACUGCAUUUACAAUGGCACUGUACGGCAGUGUUCUGGACCAUUUCUGUAUCAGUCUGUAGUCCUGUCAUUGAUAGGUACUGGGUGAUGACAAGCUCCCUUGUUUAUGUUCUCACUGCACAGAUUCCCUGUCUUGGAAAGAUGACCAAUUGAUGUUAUUUGAUGGUAUUGUCAAACUUCAGUCUAUCAGCCCAUCUCACCUUGAACGUUACCGUUGACCUUGUCCUGUUUUCAAGUUUAGGCUCCUUAGAUUUCUUGAGUCUAGGAGGAAAUAAAAGUUGGAACAUAUGUUGCAGUGUACGUAAUGCCCUGCCAUUUUAGAGCACUUGCUUGCUGCCUUUGGGACAAAUUCUGCCACUGUAGAGCCACAAUUAACUCUGGACAUCAGAAUGGGGAGCCCCGCAUUUACAGUAAAAUCUGCACCAACUUUUGUUUUAAGCAACCAAUUUAAUGUAUUCAUGUGUAGAGUUUCAGGUACAUAUUUGUUUGACCUUGAGGUUGGUUAUAAUAGACCUCCAGUUGAUGAUCUCUUGCAUCAUCAAUCAAAAGUCUUAAACUAAGGCAUUUCAUUGUAUUCCAAACUAACUGAAUUCUGUUUAGUAAGGAUCUGAUUAUUCGCACAAUACCUGUUUAACUUUUCUCACCAUUUUUAAAGAUGUUUAUCAGGUUGUCAGAUUACUGGCUUCUUUGCCAUGUUCUUCGAAAGGCCUUUUCUCAGAAUUCUACAAGGUUAAUUAACUGACAAUAAUACUUGGAGGGAGGAGGGGGGAAGGCAUUUGUUACAGCAGAAGAGCAGAGUGUAACCAAUUUCCCCAUCCUUUAUACCCUACUUAUAUUUGAAAUAUAAAAUAUUUUUCUGUCUUCCACGGUGGUAGUCAUUGCCAAGAGAAAACAUCAGAAAGGUAACUGUGGUUUCUAAAAUUCUGGGUGCUCACACUAAGGAAAAUGUGUUUUGUCCAAUUACCAAAAUGUCUUUAUCUUAAGGGACUUGUUUUUGAUUGAAGAGUUAGAACAUUGUAUGCUUGUGUGUAAUUUUAAGUUAAGAUCAUGAACUUUUUUAAAGAAAUUGCAAAAAUAACAUUUUCUAACUUAAGUCCUAUAAAAGCUUAAUUGAAAAGGCCUUACUCGUUAAUGAGCUCUUGAAAGAGAUGGAUGCUGCUUUUCAAGAAGACGCAUAUCAUCCUACAGAAUGUGAUUGGUGUCUAGGCUGAUACAUUGUAUCCUUUUUUGUGUCUGUCAUUGAGAAGGAUUUCAGACAUGGGCUCUCUGAAUAAGGGCCUCAUGGAACUGGAAUCCUGGAAGUCCCGUUUUCAGUUUCUCUGUGGCUUGUCUCAUACAGGAUAGGGGGAAAUCCCAUUUUAAAAUUCAUUGUGAUUAUUGUGCUACAACUGUAAUGUGCUCCCAGUCCAUUUCAGAGGCUGACCACAACAGCCAAACAAUUAUGAAAAUGCUGAUGCUGUCUAAGAAACCAGCUUUGUUAAGGAGGUCAGUCUUCUGUAUCGCAUUGUAAUCAAGACCCUUCAGGACUGCAUGCAUGUGUAUGGUCAAUGCAUUUCUUGUUCUCUAAGCAUUGUUCUCUGCUAAGAGGAAAACACUGUGCAAUAAGUAAGAGUUAAUAAUAAUGUUUCAUUAUCAUUGUCAGCUAAAAGUGUCUGUGGAAAACAGUAAUGUUGAAAGGAUCUGAAAUGAUCACUGUAGCGUACCUAAAGAGCUCCUGAAGUUACAUCCUAUAGAUCUUUAGUUUGUGUUUUCAAAUUACUAUCAUGAUGUGAGUGUGUAUGUAUGUGUCUCACAGGAUUUGUGAGCAGUGCAUGGUUCUCUGACAUUUGUAUUCAACUCUGUCCUGAAUAACAAUUAAAGAGAGAAAAUCUUA
This is an RNA transcript of Chelonia mydas (Green sea turtle), 9132 nucleotides long. It is a transcript of the gene named tubulin tyrosine ligase, with no coding region annotated. The record is from RefSeq and is a predicted model, not a curated record. Lineage: Eukaryota; Metazoa; Chordata; Testudines; Cheloniidae. The transcript is spliced from 9 exons.